Molecule: small nuclear RNA, 68 nt
Filed under: Lepisosteus oculatus (spotted gar)
Lineage: Eukaryota; Metazoa; Chordata; Actinopteri; Semionotiformes; Lepisosteidae
Description: U2 spliceosomal RNA
Source: Rfam by way of RNAcentral
AACGCUUCUCGGCCUUUUGGCUAAGAUCAAGUGUAGUAUCUCACCACCAACUCAUCAUACAACCAACU